This 539-nucleotide ribosomal RNA is filed under the name Clavibacter michiganensis. Its description in RNAcentral is "bacterial SSU rRNA". It matches the Rfam family "Bacterial small subunit ribosomal RNA", at positions 992 to 1533 of the family's 1533-position model. The record is from RNAcentral. Lineage: Bacteria; Bacillati; Actinomycetota; Actinomycetes; Micrococcales; Microbacteriaceae.
GGAAACAUGCAGAAAUGUGUGCCCCGCAAGGUCGGUAUACAGGUGGUGCAUGGUUGUCGUCAGCUCGUGUCGUGAGAUGUUGGGUUAAGUCCCGCAACGAGCGCAACCCUCGUUCUAUGUUGCCAGCACGUAAUGGUGGGAACUCAUAGGAGACUGCCGGGGUCAACUCGGAGGAAGGUGGGGAUGACGUCAAAUCAUCAUGCCCCUUAUGUCUUGGGCUUCACGCAUGCUACAAUGGCCGGUACAAAGGGCUGCGAUACCGUAAGGUGGAGCGAAUCCCAAAAAGCCGGUCUCAGUUCGGAUUGAGGUCUGCAACUCGACCUCAUGAAGUCGGAGUCGCUAGUAAUCGCAGAUCAGCAACGCUGCGGUGAAUACGUUCCCGGGCCUUGUACACACCGCCCGUCAAGUCAUGAAAGUCGGUAACACCCGAAGCCAGUGGCCUAACCGCAAGGGAGGAGCUGUCGAAGGUGGGAUCGGUGAUUAGGACUAAGUCGUAACAAGGUAGCCGUACCGGAAGGUGCGGCUGGAUCACCUCCUUU